AUUGGAGGGCAAGUCUGGUGCCAGCAGCCGCGGUAAUUCCAGCUCCAAUAGCGUAUAUUAAAGUUGUUGCGGUUAAAAAGCUCGUAGUUCGAGUUCAGUUUCGGACUGGCGUGGGAGGUCACCGCCCGGUGCUUGCCCGUCAGGCUCCGAACAGCUUCCGUGAGCGGAAGCCAAGCCGGUUCUGCCGGGGUGCUCUUUACCGAGUGUCCCGCGCGGCCGGCCAGUUCACCUUGAAUAAAUGAGAGUGCUCAAAGCAGGCUACUCUGGAAUACAAUGCCCGAAUGUUACCUGCAUGGAAUGAUGGAAGAUGAUCUCGGUUCCAUUUUGUUGGUGGUGGGAGCCAGAGGUAAUGAUAAAGAGGGACUGUCGGGGGCAUCCGUACUACGACGCGAGAGGUGAAAUUCAGUGACCGUCGUAGGACGAACAACAGCGAAAGCAUUUGCCAAGAAUGUCUUCGUUGAUCAAGAACGAAAGUUAGAGGAUCGAAGGCGAUCAGAUACCGCCCUAGUUCUAACCCUAAACGAUGCUGACUAGCAAUUCGCCGUCGUUAUUCCCAUGACGUGGCGAGACGCCCCCGGGAAACCUCAAGUUUUUGAGUUCCGGGGGUAGUAUGGUUGCAAAACUGAAACUUAAAGGAAUUGACGGAAGGGCACCACCAGGAGUGGAGCCUGCGGCUUAAUUUGACUCAACACGGGGAAGCUCACCAGGCCCGGACACC
RNAcentral lists this ribosomal RNA (718 nucleotides) under Macrobrachium callirrhoe. RNAcentral describes it as "SSU rRNA". It matches the Rfam family "Eukaryotic small subunit ribosomal RNA", at positions 547 to 1232 of the family's 1831-position model. The record is from RNAcentral. Lineage: Eukaryota; Metazoa; Arthropoda; Malacostraca; Decapoda; Palaemonidae.